This 635-nucleotide ribosomal RNA is filed under the name Aloconota sp. HE-2012. RNAcentral describes it as "partial 16S ribosomal RNA". The stretch from base 387 to 545 matches the Rfam family "Bacterial large subunit ribosomal RNA", at positions 2473 to 2632 of the family's 2925-position model. Lineage: Eukaryota; Metazoa; Arthropoda; Insecta; Coleoptera; Staphylinidae. The record is from RNAcentral.
GUCUUUUUGAUUUUAAUUUAAAGUCUGACCUGCCCAAUGAGUAAUUUAAUGGCCGCAGUAUUUUGACUGUGCAAAGGUAGCAUAAUCAUUAGUUUCUUAAUUAGAAACUGGAAUGAAAGGUUGGACGAGAAAAUAACUGUCUCUAUAUAAAUUAGUUAGAAUUUUAUUUUUAAGUAAAAAAGCUUAAAUUUUUUUAAAAGACGAGAAGACCCUAUAGAGUUUUAUUUAAAUAUUAAUUAAUAAUUUAAUUUGUAUUUUUUAAAUUUUAAUUGGUUUUAAAUUUAGUUGGGGUGAUUAAAAAAUUUAGUAAACUUUUUUUAAAUUUAAACAUUUAUUUAUGAUUGAAUGAUCCAUUAUUUAUGAUUAUAAGAUUAAAUUACCUUAGGGAUAACAGCGUAAUUUCUUUUUAGAGUUCAAAUCAUUAAAGAAGUUUGCGACCUCGAUGUUGGAUUAAAAUAAAUUUUUGGUGUAGCAGCUAAAAAAUUAGGUCUGUUCGACCUUUGAAAUUUUACAUGAUCUGAGUUUAAACCGGUGUAAGCCAGGUUGGUUUCUAUCUUUAAAUUUAUUAAAUAUUUUAGUACGAAAGGACCAAAUAUUUUAAUUAUAUUAUUUUUAUUGAAUUUUAUUAAUUAUAG